CAAGAUGGCGCUAGCGGUUGGAGCAGGGGCUCUGCUGCGACCUUUACGGUAGUGAGGUUAGGGACGAUGGGAGAGCAGCUUUGUUCCUGAAGUGCCGUCGAGGAUUAGGAUCGAGUUUCUUCGAUCGUGAGGGCAAUUAUUAGUGGCCUCUAGCCCCCCAGAUGGCAUCUUGAGGAGAGAGAAUCCACGCUACGAGAACUAACAUAGUGGACAUCGCAGUUGUCCGUAGCCGAUUUGCGGGUUACGGAGUUGUUGCAAGUAAAGAAGGGGAAAUCCGAGCGUUCUCGCGUUGGAUUUCCUCCACGUGUGAAGUGGGAAUGGUAGUGAUAUCUCGUGCUAUCUCUGUCAAGGGCAAGAAGGAGAAGGAAUUUAUUUGAGGCCCUACGACGUGGCCCUCCCUCCGCUGUCUCCCUGACCUUCCUAUGCAUCCAGUUGCUUAAGAACUCUUGGAAAGAUAGUGCGGUGGCUCACGCCUGUAAUCCCAACACUUUGGGAGGCCGAGGCAGGCGGAUCAUCUGAGAUCGAGAGUUCGAGACCAGCUUGACCAACAUGGAGAAACCCCGUCUCUACUAAAAGUACAAAAUUAGCCAGGCAUGGUGGCACAUGCCCGUAAUCCCAGCUACUCGGGAGGCUGAGGCAGGAGAGUAGCUUGAGCCCAGGAGGCGGAGGUUGUGGUGAGCCGAGAUCGCGCCAUUGCACAGCCUGGGCAACGAGCGAAACUCCAUCUCAAAAAAAUAAAUAAAAAUUUUUU
Molecule: long non-coding RNA, 751 nt
Filed under: Homo sapiens (human)
Lineage: Eukaryota; Metazoa; Chordata; Mammalia; Primates; Hominidae
Description: HSALNT0178481
Source: RNAcentral